Molecule: long non-coding RNA, 2888 nt
Organism: Sander lucioperca (pikeperch)
Lineage: Eukaryota; Metazoa; Chordata; Actinopteri; Perciformes; Percidae
Exons: 2
Source: RefSeq, a predicted model, not a curated record
GUGUGUGUGUGGUGGGGAUCUGACCACAAGACCUCGUCAACAUCACAGGCGAUGUCUCUUCCACGUCCGACUCCUCUCUCUCUCUCUCUUUGUCCUCCUCUGACUCUCAUUGCCUCCAUGCUUGCAAAGUUCUCAAAAUGGCUUACCUGAGGCCUAUUUCUAGUGCUAAGACCGAUUGGUGUUCUGUUUUCUGUGCCAGCGUUUUCAGGUCUGUAUGUAAGUGCCUACAAUUACCAGAUGAGUUUUGCAUUUUGAACAGUGUUUUCCCAAUGAUAACAGGAAAUUUCGUUUUUGAACAAAGUGUCUAAUGUAAGAAAACGUGUGUAGUGUUUCACAAUAAGUGUGUUAAAGAAUUGCAAACAAAGUGCAAAUUUGACAAUGUGUUAAAGCUAUGGUUACACUGUGUUUAAGGGAUGCUACAAGAAGUUUAGGUAUUGAGGCUUUGGUCUAAGCAUUCGUUUUUAGUGUGUAAGCAAUGGGCAAAAACUGUAACUGAAGGAUUGGAUAUAAUUUCCUAUAAAAGACGUUUAUUGAUCAUGAAUUCCAAAAAUAAGUGUGAAACCAGUGGUAAUAGUGUGCUGUCAGUGGUGUUUAUACAUGGUAGUGAAAAAAAGCGUUAAACUUCAGAAAAUGCCCCAAAAACAUCGAUAAAAAUGUAUAUUUUUUCAGUUUUGACCCGGGAGGACAACACAAGGGUUAAGUCAAGGUGAACAGCGGUUCAUCUUUUGCAGUAACUGUAUCAUUUAAUUCCAAUAAUACAGUCCAAAACUAUACUCACUAUACAUACCUAUAAAGGACAGCUACAGAUAUAGUAACAACAGUGGUAGUUGAGUUCUCAUCCACCACACCGGCAUGCCUGAUCCAUCCCUGGCAAUCUUCUGCAAAUGUGUCCAGACAUCCAGAAAGGGACAAAUGAUUAUGUGGACGGGGCUCCUAAACUUUGACCUCCAUGAGUAAAAUAGUUCCACUGUGGAGUUAAGUACUGGGUAGAAAGGUGGACGAGAAGUGACUGCAUCCUUGGAUGGGCAGUAAACCUGUCUGUGACUGGGAGAGAUGGUGAAACGCCACAUCGUUCCAUACAAUUACAGAACGGCCCCUUUCCUCACCUUUCACAAGUCUGUCAUAGAGCUCAUCAGAGAAUGUUGUACAGUAUGCCCCAAUUAGGAGUUAAUACAUUUUAAUUUAUUUUUGUAUUUAUUUUUAGAUAUAGAUGUGGCUGAGCAAGCUUGAAUGGUAGGGUUUGAACGUACAUUUAACAGUUUUUACUAUAGUAUGUUACCGUGUAAAAUGGAGUGUAAAUAUGCAGAGGUUUGGUGGUUAAGUUAGAGUGAGAAAACAGUUCAUGAGUUUUGAAAAGGUGUGGUCAUUGACUGCAUUUUGUGGCAAAGGAUGAAAAGUGAUCCAUAGUUCAGUGCACACUGACUUCUGUUGUGCUGACUGUGGAAAGAGUUCAGAAAAAGGCACAAAUGUGAAACCUCAGGCAUAUUGAGAAAUGUGUUACCAGGUGUAAAAACUAAAACAAUAACCAGUGUUAUUUAGUUAAUUCAGGGCUCGUGGCAGGAAGUGUGUAUCGCCCAUUAUUUCUGUGUUGUGCCCAGGGGUGAUUCUAGGAUCAGACCUUUAGGGGGGCUCAGCCCCUAAUGAGAAUGUGACACGGAUACAGUGCCUUGCAAAAGUGUUGACGGGAUUACAGGUACAUAGCAUUGGCGACAGACACACAGGAUAAUAAACCUGUUUCAUGCCCUUUGAACCUGUAAAUGUUUGUCCUCUGUCACUAACAGACAAGUUCGAAAACUCUCACUUAAAGUAAUUUUUUAAGUUAUAUAUUUUUUUUAUUAUUAUAAUUUUUAGGGGGGCUGAUAUGAAAUUUAGUGGGGCUUGAGCCCACUUAAAUAGGGUCUAAAAUCGCCAAUGGUUGUGCCUCCUGGACUGCUACACUAAUCCAUAUAUGCCGUAGUAUUAUAUUCUCGCAGUAUGAACUAAUGCCAAAUGUCUACAUAGCACAUGGCACCUGUGUUGUGUCAUACUUUGAGGAGAGCCCGUGAUGAGCAUACAGCAAAGUGGUAAAAGGUUGCUUAGUUUAAUGAUCUGUUGUAGAUUUGACAUUUUGCCAAACUGCAAUAUGGCUGGACAAUACAGAUCUUUAUGGGUCCAGAAUUCUGGACCUGAUUUAAAGUGGACCAGUGGAAUGCAUGAAUACAUUUUUGAUUUAUCUAUGGGUACCAUUCCGGAUAGAGAAUAGUACCCAUCCAAAUGGGAAAUAGGGAAUAGAGAAAGACAUACUGACACACAGGCUACUAGCAACCAAGUUAACCCAUGAAGACAUCUACUGAGUACAUAUGACACAGUUAGAUAUGCUAAGCUAAUCAGGUGAAAAGGUGAAUGACAUUGCACUAAAAUUGCAUGCCUUACAAUCACAGGGUCGUCUGUUAAUGAGAAGGCCGGAGCCAGUGAAAGAAUGACAGUAAUGGUGAUACAUAUAUGAUACCGAAUGUGUACAUACUGACAUUUUAUAUCUUUUAUUAACAUUCCAAGUGUGCAUCUCUGAACCAAAACCACUGGUCAAACCAUAACUCAUUAUUAUGCUAACCAUUAAUGACAUCAAAAUGUAUUGCUAAAAUGUAACUAAUUACAGCUCCUUAUGAUAACAUUUACUGUCUACGACUCUACAGUACAAAGUGUAAAAUUGAUAGGCUGUGACGUACACAUGGCUUAGAGAGGCUUAUAACCAAGGCUGACCAUUAGCAAUCAGCAAAACAGGCAACUGCACUGGAGCCUGCAAAAGCCUCAGCUUCACUGUUUGGCAAGUGGUUUUUGGGUGAUUUGAUUUACUGUGUUUGGGAAUAUGUAUAUUAUUAAAGGGUAACUACCGUUUUUUUCAACCUGGA